ACGUAGAAUUUUAUACAUGUUGAACCUCUAUGGUGAUCAAUAUUAUCAAACGAACUAGCUUUAACAAGUUACAUGGAAAAUUCCACGAAGAAUGUUUUUUAACGCUUUAACAGGUCAAAUGUGCCAUAUCUGUUAAAUGCUAACCACCACAUAGUAAAUCUAUGAAUGGGUAUUUACUAUUUGCAUAAACUCUGUGCAAAACAACAUUGUUUUAAUUUAUUAUUUACUUUAACUUUGUGAAAUUCACAGUGUGAAACCAUUACAUUUUUUUUUAUUGAAUUUCACAGUUUUAGAAAUUAGAACCCCCUAAGGCCUAAACCAAAAGGCAUUACAAAAAAAACAACAAAAGACGUUUUAUUAUCCGAUCUCCGUUGUUUAACUUUUUCAUUCUUUUUGAAUUUGAAGUAACUUAAGAAAGUAACGAACGACGUGUCAUCAUGUCAUGUCUGUGACCAGCUGUGACUGUGCAACUAACUUAAGAUUCAAAACUCAUUACUAGAUGUCGCCAGUGUCACCCAUGUUGUUCUGAUAUCGUGAAACGAGGCGAAACAAAUUGUAGCUAAUUUAUACUUAUAUUCCUGUGAUUUCAAUUACCAAAUUGAGCUUCGUAUCAUAUAUGCAUACUGUCAGUCAUUCCAAAAAGUUGACUUAGCGCUCAGUCAAUUUCCAUCCAUGAGGCCCAUCAUAUGCUGUCUAAAGCCCAUUACUGCUACAAGACCAUUACAAUUCAGAUUUUCAUAUAACAUAGUCGCGUACCCUGCAACAGCAUCUUUGUUGUUAUGGCUGUUUCUACUUCUGUUUAAAAGGCAACCCAGCUAAGAGAUAGUUUCAGAGACACGAAGAGGGUGAAUUGAUUUGCCAAUUUGCCAUGUAUGUACCAGAUCUGCUUGAUGCCAAAUGCCAAAUGCAAAGCCAAAUGCCUUACUAAAUUCAUCACCCAUAUGAUAAAGCAUCAUCCAGGAAAUUUAUCUCAACAUGUGGAGUAAUGCUGUUGGUUGC
Molecule: long non-coding RNA, 999 nt
Organism: Daphnia pulex (common water flea)
Lineage: Eukaryota; Metazoa; Arthropoda; Branchiopoda; Diplostraca; Daphniidae
Exons: 5
Source: RefSeq, a predicted model, not a curated record